CAGUCGCCGCGGGAAUACGAAGGGGGCUGGCGUUGCUCGGAAUGACUGGGCGUAAAGGGCGCGUAGGCGGCUUGUACAGUCAGAUGUGAAAUUCCCGGGCUCAACCUGGGGGCUGCGUUUGAUACUUGGUUGCUUGAUGGGGGAAGAGGGUCGUGGAAUUCCCAGUGUAGAGGUGAAACUCGUGGAUAUUGGGAAGAACACCGGUGGCGAAGGCGGCGACCUGGUCCUUUACUGACGCUGAGGCGCGAAAGCGUGGGGAGCAAACAGGAUUAGAUACCCGAGUAGUCCCUGUCUCUUAUAC
This 301-nucleotide ribosomal RNA is filed under the name uncultured bacterium. RNAcentral's name for it is "partial 16S ribosomal RNA". It matches the Rfam family "Bacterial small subunit ribosomal RNA", at positions 509 to 807 of the family's 1533-position model. The record is from RNAcentral.